UGCAAGUCGGACGGGAUUCAGGGAGUAGCUUGCUACAAACUGAUGAGAGUGGCGCACGGGUGCGUAACGCGUGAGCAACCUACCCAUAUCAGGGGGAUAGCCUCUCGAAAGAGAGAUUAACACCGCAUAACAUCAUUUACCGGCAUCGGUUUUUGAUCAAAUAUUUAUAGGAUAUGGAUGGGCUCGCGUGACAUUAGCUAGUUGGAGAGGUAACGGCUCACCAAGGCUACGAUGUCUAGGGGCUCUGAGAGGAGAAUCCCCCACACUGGUACUGAGACACGGACCAGACUCCUACGGGAGGCAGCAGUAAGGAAUAUUGGUCAAUGGAGGCAACUCUGAACCAGCCAUGCCGCGUGCAGGAUGACUGCCCUAUGGGUUGUAAACUGCUUUUGUCAGGGAAUAAACCUUUCUACGUGUAGGAAGCUGAAUGUACCUGAAGAAUAAGGAUCGGCUAACUCCGUGCCAGCAGCCGCGGUAAUACGGAGGAUCCAAGCGUUAUCCGGAUUUAUUGGGUUUAAAGGGUGCGUAGGCGGUCCUAUAAGUCAGUGGUGAAAGACGGCAGCUUAACUGUCGCAGUGCCUUUGAUACUGUAGGACUUGAAUCUAUUUGAAGUGGGCGGAAUAAGACAAGUAGCGGUGAAAUGCAUAGAUAUGUCUUAGAACUCCGAUUGCGAAGGCAGCUCACUAAGUUAGUAUUGACGCUGAUGCACGAAAGCGUGGGGAUCAAACAGGAUUAGAUACCCUGGUAGUCCACGCCCUAAACGAUGAUAACUCGAUGUUUGCGAUACACAGUAAGCGUCCAAGCGAAAGCGUUAAGUUAUCCACCUGGGGAGUACGGUCGCAAGAUUGAAACUCAAAGGAAUUGACGGGGGCCCGCACAAGCGGAGGAGCAUGUGGUUUAAUUCGAUGAUACGCGAGGAACCUUACCCGGGCUUGAAAGUUAGUGAAUGAUCCAGAGACGGAUCAGUCCUUCGGGACACGAAACUAGGUGCUGCAUGGCUGUCGUCAGCUCGUGCCGUGAGGUGUUGGGUUAAGUCCCGCAACGAGCGCAACCCCUAUGUUUAGUUGCCAGCAUGUAAUGAUGGGGACUCUAAACAGACUGCCAGCGUAAGCUGUGAGGAAGGUGGGGACGACGUCAAGUCAUCAUGGCCCUUACGUCCGGGGCUACACACGUGCUACAAUGGACGGUACAGCGGGCAGCUA
RNAcentral lists this ribosomal RNA (1202 nucleotides) under Sphingobacterium sp. RNAcentral's name for it is "bacterial SSU rRNA". It matches the Rfam family "Bacterial small subunit ribosomal RNA", at positions 56 to 1252 of the family's 1533-position model. The record is from RNAcentral. Lineage: Bacteria; Pseudomonadati; Bacteroidota; Sphingobacteriia; Sphingobacteriales; Sphingobacteriaceae.